AUUGAACGCUGGCGGCAGGCCUAACACAUGCAAGUCGAGCGGUAACAGGGGUAGCUUGCUACCCGCUGACGAGCGGCGGACGGGUGAGUAAUGCAUAGGAAUCUGCCCGAUAGUGGGGGAUAACCUGGGGAAACCCAGGCUAAUACCGCAUACGUCCUACGGGAGAAAGGGGGCUCCGGCUCCCGCUAUCGGAUGAGCCUAUGUCGGAUUAGCUGGUUGGUGAGGUAACGGCUCACCAAGGCGACGAUCCGUAGCUGGUCUGAGAGGAUGAUCAGCCACAUCGGGACUGAGACACGGCCCGAACUCCUACGGGAGGCAGCAGUGGGGAAUAUUGGACAAUGGGGGGAACCCUGAUCCAGCCAUGCCGCGUGUGUGAAGAAGGCCCUCGGGUUGUAAAGCACUUUCAGUGAGGAAGAACGCCUGGUGGUUAAUACCCAUCAGGAAAGACAUCACUCACAGAAGAAGCACCGGCUAACUCCGUGCCAGCAGCCGCGGUAAUACGGAGGGUGCGAGCGUUAAUCGGAAUUACUGGGCGUAAAGCGCGCGUAGGUGGCUUGAUAAGCCGGUUGUGAAAGCCCCGGGCUCAACCUGGGAACGGCAUCCGGAACUGUCAAGCUAGAGUGCAGGAGAGGAAGGUAGAAUUCCCGGGUGUAGCGGUGAAAUGCGUAGAGAUCGGGAGGAAUACCAGUGGCGAAGGCGGCCUUCUGGACUGACACUGACACUGAGGUGCGAAAGCGUGGGUAGCAACAGG
Molecule: ribosomal RNA, 751 nt
Filed under: uncultured Halomonas sp.
Lineage: Bacteria; Pseudomonadati; Pseudomonadota; Gammaproteobacteria; Oceanospirillales; Halomonadaceae
Description: bacterial SSU rRNA
Rfam family: Bacterial small subunit ribosomal RNA
Source: RNAcentral